Molecule: ribosomal RNA, 539 nt
Filed under: uncultured bacterium
Lineage: Bacteria
Description: bacterial SSU rRNA
Rfam family: Bacterial small subunit ribosomal RNA
Source: RNAcentral
ACGAAGCUGGCGGCGUGCUUAACACAUGCAAGUCGAACGCUGAUUUGCGGGUAGCAAUAUUUGCAGGUUGCACUGGCGCAAGGGUGCUUAACACGUGGGCAAUCUGCCGUGAAGCCUGGAAUAACUCGCUGAAAGGCGAGCUAAUGCCGGAUGUGAAAGUUGGGAGGCAUCUUUUGAUUUUCAAAGCUGGCGACCGCACGGCCUGGCACUUCACGAUGAGCCCGCUUCCUAUCAGCUAGUUGGCGAGGUAACGGCUCACCAGGGCUAAGACGGGUAGCUGGUCUGAGAGGACGACCAGCCACACUGGAACUGAGACACGGACCAGACACCUACGGGUGGCAGCAGUCGAGAAUUUUUCUCAAUGGGCGAAAGCCUGACGGAGCGACGCCGCGUGGUCGAUGAAUGGCUUCGGCCCGUACCCCCUGUCAUUUGCGAACAAAUUGUUUUACCUAACACGUAAGCAUUGACAGUAGCGGAAGAGGACGGCACGGCUAACUCUGGGCCAGCAGCCGCGGCAAUACCAGCCGAAUUCCAUCACA